Long non-coding RNA from Heterocephalus glaber (naked mole-rat), 1611 nucleotides. The record is from Ensembl. Lineage: Eukaryota; Metazoa; Chordata; Mammalia; Rodentia; Bathyergidae.
AGAAGGCCGACUGCGGAAUAGCACUGGCGCCGUUCUUCCGAGCUACGGAAGGUGCAGCCCGCUAGGCCGCGAAGCCGGGGCCUCGCGUACUGACGCCCGCGAGCAAAGGCGCGGCAGGGCGGCCAGAUCGGUGCACAUACCAAAUCUGGAACUUGAGCAGCGGCCCCGUGGCGUACUGCAUCUUCAGUCUCUUGCUAGGCACGCCGCCCAGAUUGCCCGACGCCUCGCUCCUGACCACUGCCGACGCCGCCAUCAGAAGCAGCAGCAAAAGCCUCAUCUUAAAUGAGACAGCCACUUCGGCCGCCUUCUCUCUGAGACUGCAGCCAGCCCAAAGCCUAGGCGCGAGCUGCUCCCCACUGCGCAGGCGCGAUCCGCCAAGGUCGCGAGGAAGCAGGAAUGCGACUGCGCGGCUCCGCUUGCGCACACUCGGGGAAGGAGAGCUGACCUGUUUUCUCCGUCCUGGCCCGCCUCCAUAUUGCCAGUGUGCAGAGGCGGGAGGGAAAGGAAGAGGGAAGUGGAAAGGGAGCAAAGAAGCUAGUGAGGAUUUCAGUGGCAGGACAAGAAAGUGGCACAAGCAACAAAUCCAAGACAACGUAAAAAAAGGUCCAGUAGUCUAAAACCUGAAAACCCUAAAAAACAAAGUAUUUGGUUUCCGUCACUUCCCUGACAUUCCAGGGGUGGAGUAAGGGGAGGAGCUGGCGAGGGCCUCCCAGUGGAGCACUCAAAAGGGAAGCAGUGGGGUCUGAAGCAGCAACUCCCAUAGAGCACUAGCUGUGGAACUGCAUAGCCCUUCUGCUAUACAUAAAGAACACAUGGUUGCAGCAUUUCCUGUCCUGAGUACUGCAAGCUGCUUUCCAAAGACUGUUCUCAGCUUCAGAUGAUCCCGGGCCUCAACAUUCUAAAGAAUGAAAGAAAGUACCACCCCUAGAAGAGAAAGAAAAUAUUUCCUCUGAAAUUGUGGACGUCUCAUGGCAUCCUUCCAUCACUAACAGUACACCUGCCUCACAGGGCCAGCCAUGGGUAGGCAGUCAGCGUCCAUUCCGGAGGCCGCUGUGGAGUCUUCACAACUUUGGCAACUUCAGGGCUGAGCUGUCCGGCAGUGGUAAUCUUAUUGUGGGAGCCUAUGAGUGACCACUGACCUGAUGGAGGGUUAGUCUCGGCAGGAGGAUGGCUAUUAAUGGGUUGUUUUUAGGUGAAAGCUGAAGAAACCACAAAUAAAAUCCUCACCUUAAAACUUAACUUUAAAAAGAAAAUCUUUUUUCAUCUUUUUGGAUUGCAGCAAAUAUUAGACUUUCUGAUUUAAAUUUCACUUGGGACUUAUGCAUACUGUAUUUUAUUUGAUGGAGGUAGUAUUAAAAAUAUAUUCAAUUUAGCAUUAAAGAAGUGGCAUAACAGUUUGUCUGAAGUAGGAUGGUAGCCCGUGAUUUCAUUAAUCUUCUGAGUAAGAAAUGUUUAAAAUGGUUCAACCUAUCCCACAAGCCAGGUGUAGUGGUGCACCCAUGUAAUCCCAGCACUCUGAGAGUCUGAGGCAGGAUAGCAAGCUCAAACUCAGUCUGGACAAUUUAGUGAGACCCUGUCUCAAAAAAUAAAUUAAAUUUUAAAUUUAAAAAA